Molecule: ribosomal RNA, 497 nt
Filed under: uncultured bacterium
Lineage: Bacteria
Description: partial 16S ribosomal RNA
Rfam family: Bacterial small subunit ribosomal RNA
Source: RNAcentral
GAUGAACGCUGGCGGCGUGCCUAAUACAUGCAAGUCGAGCGAACGGACCCGGAGUUUUCUGCUCUGAGGUAGGCGGCGACCGGGGGAGUACCCCGUGGUUAACCUCCCUAUACGACUGGGUUAACUUCGGGAAACCGUAGUUAAUACCGGAUAAUAUUUUGUACCGCAUGGUUCAACAGUGAAAGAUGGUCUUGCUGUCACUUAUGGAUGGAUCUGCGCUGCCUUAGCUAGUUGGUAAGGUAAGGGUGUACCAAGGCAACGUUGCUUAGCCGCCCUGAGAGGGUGAUCGGCCACACUGGAGCUGAUGCACGGUCCAGAAGCCUACGGCAGGCAGCAGUAGGGAAGCUUCCGCAAUGGGCGAAAGCCUGACGGUGCAGCGCCGCGUGAGUGAUGAAGGUCGUCUGAUCGUUAAACUCUUUUAUCAGGGAAGAACAUAUGUGUAAUUAACUGUGCACAGCUUGACGGUGCCGAGUCAGAAAGCCACGGCUAACUACGUG